This 3999-nucleotide long non-coding RNA is filed under the name Mus musculus (house mouse). Its description in RNAcentral is "long non-coding RNA chr12:41780016-41784015". Lineage: Eukaryota; Metazoa; Chordata; Mammalia; Rodentia; Muridae. The record is from RNAcentral.
GCAUAUAUCAAAACAUUUUAAAGCAACUUUUAGUCAGUUUUUCUGGGUGGUCCUGAGGUGUGACCCAGGGCUUCAUACAUGCUAAGCACAUGCUCUGCCAUGGAUCUGCACCGUAGCUUUUCACUUUAUUAUUAUUAUUAUUAUUAUUAUUAUUAUUAUUAUUAUUAUUAUUUAUUUAUCUUCAACAUUCUAAGCACAGUUCAUAUUUCUAAAAUAUGUCACAUCUUCAUUUAAUGCUUCUGUUGAUGUCUAUCUAGAAGUUCUAUACACAGGUAAUGUCAUAGGUAAUUAAUUAACUAAUUACUCAAAAUUAUUCUAAGAUAGUCCGUCAUUUAUCCAAAGAAUCCAAAGUUCAUGCUUGUAAUUGCAACAAUUGGGAAACUGAAGCAGGAGAAUCUGUGCAAGCUUGAGACUAGCCUGCACUACAUGGUGUGUUCCAGGACAGCCUGGCUGCAGGGUGAGAGCCAGUCUCAGAAAUCUGAAAACGUCUAUAGUAGAAAUUAAGUUUAAGAAAAGCUUUACUUUCUCUCCUUCUGCUUCGUAUCCUUCUGUAACUAUCGUUGAAAUAAUUAUCUGCAGUAUCGUGCUCCUCCUAAAUGUCCCUAGAAAGGUCAAUGCAUACAUAGAUCUGCAUGUUUUCUCAUGUUCUUGCUCCCCCCUCUCUCCUCUUCUUUCUUGUUACAUCUCUCCUUCUUCCACCACUCCAUUUUUCUUUUCUCUCUUUCAUUCUCUCUUUCUUCUUGUCUAAACUAGACUUUUAUACAUAUAUUUUAUAACUUGCUUUGCAGGAAUUUAGGCUGAUAUGGAUAGUUUUAUUUUCAUUUUAUUUAUUCUUCUCUCAUACAAUACAUUCCAAUUACAGCCUCCCCUCCCUCUACUCCUUCCACUACCCACCUCCCCCAGAUCCACUGCUCCUCCUUUACUUCAGAAAAGACCAAAUCCCCCAAGAAUAUCAACCAAACAUGGCAGAACAAGAAUCAAAAGACCAAGCACAAACCCUCAUAUCAUGGCUGGACAAGACAACCCAGGAGGAGGAAAAAGAUCCCAAGAGCAGGCAAACACAUUAGAGAUACCCCAACUCCCACUGUUAUGAGUUCCACAAGAACACCAAGUUACACAACCAUAACAAAUAUGCUGUGAAACAUGGUUCAGCCCCAUAAAGGCUCCCCAUGUUCAGUCUCUGUGAGCCAUUUUGAUCUCUGCUUAGUUGAUUCUGUUGGCCAUUUCUCCUGGGGUCCUUACCCUCUGGCUCUUAUAACCCUUCCUCCCUAUCUUCUGCAGGGUUCCCUAAGCUCUGCCUAAUAUUUGGCUGUGGGCCUCUGCAUCUGCUCCUAUCAGCUACCAGAGGAAGCCUCAUUGACAACUAUUGGAUUAGGUACUGGUCUAUGACUAUAGAUGAACAUUAUUAGGAAUAAUUUUAUUGACUGUUUUUCCCAGUUGUAUUUAGUUCUACCCUAGGUCUCUGGGCCUUCCAGCUUCCAAAUCCUAGCAACCCAGGCAGGACCAAGCUUGGCUUCCUUCUGAUAUAGUGGGCCUCAGGUUAGACCAAUGAUUGAUUGGUCACUAUCACAAGCUCUGACCUACCAUUGUCCCAGCACAUCUUGCAGGCAGGACAGUUUGUGGCUUGAAGAUUUUGUGACUGAGUUGGUGUCUAAGUCCCAUCACUAGAAGCUUUAGCUGGUUACAAAAGAUGGCCAGUUCAGGCUCCUAUCCUUCAUGACUAGAAGUCCUGGAUAGGGUUACCCUUGUAGGUUCCAAGAAGGAUCCAAUGCACUGUUUGUUUGUUUGUUUGAUUGAUUGUUUUCUUUUUGUUUUGUAGUAUAAAAACCUUUUUAUAUGAUGUAUUGUUGAUAUUCACCUAAUAUCUAAUCCAUAGAACAAAUUUAUUCAUUCUGGUACCUGCCUAAGAUUCCAUUCACUGUAUUUUAUUUAACCAUUAUUCUAUGAAUGAAUUACCUAGUCAUUUUCAGUUUUGAGCCACUACUUGCAGUAACAACAUUGUACAUAUAACCUUAGGUAUUUAUAUUCAAUUAUAAGAAAAAUCUCUAAAUUUGUAUUUGCUGAUAUUACAUUUAUAUUGAAGUGGACGUUGCCAUAGACCUUUCAGGAAGGCAGUGACAGUGAGGGCUUACCUGUACUUUGAGCAUCUCUCAAGUGCUGGGUGAUCAAUGACAUGUUUUUUUCAAAGAAAUUGGAGAAUAUAAUGGAAAUCACUACUGCUUUAUGUUUCAUUAUACCAAGCCGGUCACCUGAAGUACAAGGUCAAUAAACAGAAGGCCUUGUGCUACGGUUUUAAGGGAAUCUUUAAUAAUUUAUGGUACAUGAGAGAAUUUUGCUAUGUGUGUUCCUGAAUAUAUCCUUUCUUCUUAAAUUACGGUGGUUGUAUAUUUAGGUUUUACUAUCAGGAAAAGUUGAAAACCACAAGCAGGAAUGUGUGUGAACUGAGCAGGUUGAAAUAGCAGUGAGAACACAGGGAUUGGCAUUAACUCAUUAUUUAUAAAUGGCUUUUGCAGAAAUUCCAUCCCCCAGGUCAGAUGUUUAUAGAGAGUUCAACUCCACUCCUCCUUCAGUUUAUAUAAUACGACCAAGAUUUGUUAUCCUCUUAACUCACCAUGGGAAGUGUAAUUCAUUAAUAUGUAUCAGUUUUGGAUGCUUCCAGCUACAAGUGAGUGUGAACAAUUGGGUGUCACCUUGGGUCUUUAUGUAAUUACAAUGAACAUGUCAGUGUACCAAGCCACAGACUCACUGGAGUAUAACGUAACUCCUCCAGUGAGAAGCACUCUAAGGAAAGCCAUGUCAAAUGAGAAGGAUGCAAAAAAAAACAACAAUAAAAAACUCAAAAAACAAAACAAAAGACAAGAACCUUUUAAACAUGAUUAUUAAAAUGUUUCUAAUAUCUUAUUUCACAUUUAUUGAUGACAGUCUUAUGUAUGCAGCAAUAAUAGAUUUCAUUUCAACUCAGUAAAUUUACAAGAAAGAAAGGCAAGUGAUUUAGGGGGAAAAAACACAGCUACUUGGCUUAAAAAGAAUACCUUAGGGGAAUAGUUUCAGGUAUGUCAGUUUGAGGAAGUAAUUUGAAAUUUACAAUCAAGUUGUAAUUCUCCUUGCUUUGCUAUACAUGAGUGUUUUCUCCGCUUUGUGCUUGGCCUUAGUCUGGAGUGGUCAGCUUGUUUAGAAGAGCAAGUAAUGAUCAGUUACUUCUGAACAUCUUUAUGAAUCCCCAGUAACCUGAGAUAUUUAAGGACCAGAGUUUGUGAGCUUGUGUCUUCCCAUCUAUGGAUUUUGCUAUCAGGAGAGGUCCUAGAACUAGUCACUCACUAGUACAGAUAGCUCUAUGAGAUCUCUAGAUUCCUGCUGUGUCCCAAAUGGCUUAGCAAUAUCCCUACUUUGCAGGACACAAAAGUCUUGAAAUUUACUGACUGAAGCUCUUCUACUAGCCUUGUUUUCUGGAAUACCCAUCUGCUGUGAUUGUCAGACAACACUGCAGUGUACUUCCUGAGGUCCUUUCAUAAUAGGUAGGACUGCUGAGCUUGUGACAAUACCUUCAGUGUAAGGCACGGGCAACAGAACAUCAGCAACCACUGCAGAGUUUCCGUAGAAAAACAGGUCUAGAGACAGCCUGGAAGGAACAUGUAGCCUCCACCCAUCAUUUGACUACCUUAGGUCAGCUCACAGACAUUUAGGGACGUCAUCCCGCCUUCUCUACUUUUGUCAUAUAUAUUUAAAUCAUUUGAAAUGUCAAACAUAGCCUCCCCCUUGUGUUAUCACAUUCUGGAACAAUCUCUGGAAUUUCUGUGAGAUUCUGAGUUUUUUGUUGGUACUUGGGAUACAAACAAACUUUUCAUGACUGUUGGUGUCAAGUGUCUGCUAAAUGCCUGUCUGGAGUUGAGUGCCCCUCCCUGUAAUAAAAAUUCAGUCCAAGGAGGUGUUAGGGUGGUGAGUAGUGCAGAACUGCACUUCCCAAUGUUCUUAGCUGACCAGUGACCACCAAAUAAAGCU